RNAcentral lists this long non-coding RNA (3490 nucleotides) under Homo sapiens (human). RNAcentral describes it as "HSALNT0248481". The record is from RNAcentral. Lineage: Eukaryota; Metazoa; Chordata; Mammalia; Primates; Hominidae.
CUCAUGAAAUGGAGAGGGGUAUGUAAGAGCAGCCAUGGCUUCCUGUGCUGCUAGGACACUUUCCUCACUUAGAGGAUGAGCUUUCCAGCUAGUUAGCUUUCCGGUGUAUUCUUUUUCACAACCAAGUUAACCUGGAGCAGAGACAGCCCUGGGCCUUUUGUGGCUGCUCCUCCAGAAGGUCGCCUGUCCACAGACUACUCCCUGGCCCUGAGAAGCAGUGAUUCAGAACACAGUCUCAACAGAAGAAGGAUGAAAUGCUCCCACGCUUGCCGCCCUCUGCUCUUUUACAGGUCUUGAGUUGUCGCUGGCCUUCCUGAUCACAUCUUCCACCCCCAACCCAUAUUCCCUUUCUCCUCUUCAGGCAUCUUGGCUGGCCAUGGCCCUCAGUCCUCUACCUGGUAGGGGACACAAACUUUCAUUCCGGAAGGGUCUGAGACAUUCAUAGUUCAUCUGGACUGGCUAUUUGCAGUUUUCAACUGACCUCAGUCACAGGACAUGGCAGUACUAAUAACAGACAGGACUUGGGGGAUCUCUUCUUGAACCUCGCUGACCAGAUGUUUAAAAUAUUUAGUGUUGUGUUGAACAUGGGGAGUCGGGCUAAAGGGCACCCAUGAGGCGUAAGCAUAUUGAAGAUGACUGUAAGAGGGGGACAAGAUGCUCACCUCCUGUUAUUAGUCUUGAUGCGUGUGGGACUGGACAAAGCAGAUUUAAAUUGAAGCAAGAUAAACUUGGAUCAGACAAAAAAGGGAGUCUUAAAGAAGAGCAGAUUUAGGUUCUGCAGGGUAUAAUAAAGACAGCUUUCAUUUCCCCCCCAGGAGAAGAUCAACAACAGGAGACAGAGGGACCCCUCUAGAGGCAGGAGGAAAGAUAAAUGGCCACAGGCUGCUGUCAUCUAGGCCAGGGUUCUGGCAGCAAUGAAAACACGUCUGCAGGAGGAGAAAGAAGUGCUUUUGAAUCCAUCUUACUCAUCGUCUGUCUCUUGUCUCUUCAAAGUGAAUGCAGUUGGAAGGAAAGGGACAGGCCAGGGCAGAAGUCACAAUGGCUGCUUGGACCGUGGAAGCCUGAAGCCUGGUCCCUAAAGUGAAUAUGGUCUUGGCAACAUCAGAACUGCCAAGAGCCAAGGUUUCCUUAUUGGCUAAAUUAAAUCACAAUCCUCCCCUGGCUAACCUAGAACUCUGGGAAUCAAAUAUACCAAUAAAAUGUCUGUAAAAGCACUGUUUGAAUUUGCAUUUGCACCACUACUCUUAGCAGAGGAAGCGGCAGCCUGAGGCUGGUGUGAGCACUGGGCUGGGAGUCAGCGGUUCUAAGCGUGAGCCCCAGCUCUGCAACCUACCAGCCUAUUUGGGACUCUCCAUUUCUCAUCUGAAAAUGCGUAGGCCGGAAAUAGCUGCUGCCCUGCCUGCUGUCAUCAUCUCAGUCACUGAACAAGUGUAUGGGGAUCAUCAGUCUGUAUCAGGUACCCUUGUAGACAUGGGACUGGCAUUGUGUGUUCAGACACGGGCCCUGACUGCACGUCUCACAUCCCAGUGGUGAGGAGACAGACAGCAAACAGGUAGGUAAUUAAAUAAAUACGAUCAUUUAAUCUUCUUUAUGUGUGUGGUGAUGCUGGCAUAAACAGACAUACUGCUCUGCCAGUCCUAUAAAAGUCUAGCACACACAAUUAUAUUCUGUACAUAAUAAGUGAUAAUGAUAAUAAAAGGUUUACUGAUUUACAUAUUUACUAUACUAUACUUGUUAUGGUUGUAGAGUGUGGGCUCCUUCUACUUAUAAAAAUAAGUUAACUGUAAAAUGGUCUCAGGCAUGUCCUUCAGGAGGAAUUCCAGAAGAAGGCAUCGCUAUCACAGGAGAUGACAGCUCCAUGUUAUUGCCCCUGAAGACCUUCCAGUGGGACAGGAUGUGGAGGUGUAAGACAGUGAUAGUGACAGUCCUGACCCUCUGCAGGCCUUGGCUAAUGUGUGUGUCUGUGUCUUAGAUUUUUUUUUUCCGGAGACAGAGUCUUGCUCUGUCGCCCAGGCUGGAGUGCAAUGGUACGAUCUUGGCUCACUGCAACCUCCGCCUCCUGGGUUCAAGAAAUUCUCCUGCCUCAGCCUCCUGAGUAGCUGGAAUUACAGGUGCCUGCCACCACACCCAGCUAAUUUUUGUAUUUUUAGUGGGCGAGGUUUCACCAUGUUGGCCAGACUAGUCUCAAACUCCUGGCCUCAAGUGAUCUGCCCUCCUUGGCCUCCCAAAGUGCUGGGGUUACAGCAUGAGCCACUGUGCCCAGCCUGUGUCUUAGUUUUCAACUGCAAAGUUUAAAAUGUUAAAAAAAGAAUUUGAAAACAGAAAAAAUCUUACAGAAUAAGGAUACAAAGAGAAAAUAUUUUUUACAGCUGGACAAUGUGUUUGUAUUCUAAGCUGAGUCAUUACAAAAGAGUCAAAAAGUUAAAAGCAUAGAAAUUUAUAAAGUAAAAAGUUACAGGAAGCUUAUUUUCUUUCUGAAGUUCAGUCUGGGUGCACAGUAGGCUCCACCAUCUGGCCUGGGUGCGCAGUGGGCUCCGCCAUCCGGCCUGGGUGCACAGUGGGUUCUGCCAUCCGGCCUCGGUGCGCAGUGGGCUGUGCCAUCCAGGUGUGUGUAAGUGUGCUCUGUGGUGUUCACACAAUGGCAAAAUCACCUAAUGACACAUUUCUCAUAACAGAGCCCUGUUGUUAAGGGAUGCGUGGCUAUAAGAAUGUCGCGUUCAGGGAGAAAUUGGGGCUGAGGACACAGAUGUGGCAGGAAUUGUGAAUUUGGUCGUUAAAGUUGUGGCACCUAAGGGACACACCCAGAUAGCAGGAGCGAGGAAAAGUCAAGAUCCAGCUCUAGACGAGCCCACAGGAAGAGGACUGGCUGAGAAGGGAGAGCUGACACAAGACAAGGAGAGGGAGGGAGGUGGCGCAGGUGAAAGGAGCCGGGGUGGAGUGAUGCAUGGUACCCCCUGCUGUUAGGGUGCAAUGAAAUACAAAAUAUAAUCCUUUCAAUAAGUUUUAAAGCACUGUUUAACUGUUAGUCACAGUGGGCCCCUGGGUGUGGGCGGAGGGAACAGCUGACCACAGCAAUGACGAAGAGAUGACAAGAAGCUACCUGGGCCACUGGUUCCUUGGCUCCCUGGUCCUGGAGGAGGCUGGGCUAGACUUGGGAGGAGGGGAGGAGGUGUCUCCUGCAGCCACCAGGACCAUGGCCGCCCUCCCUCACUUGCCGUGGGCCUCCCUCCCUCUGCUCUUCCCUCGCUCGCCACCUGGGGGUACUGGGUCACUUACUUCCACACUCAUUCUUCAAUGUCCACGAGCAAACCUGGAAAUGAGGGUGGCUAUACUCAGGACAGGAUCAGGGUCCAUGAUGUUGGGUGUUUACAGCGCCUCCCAAAAACGUCGUGAUACAGGACCAGGAACCUCCAGCGAGGGCCCUUCCCAGUCACACGGCAGCAGUGCAUGUGCACGUGGGGCCCAGGAUGCUUCAGAUCUGAAGGAACAC